GAGGUUGUGGCUCUGCGGUAGAGCGCUCGCCUAGCAUGUGUGAGGCCUUGGGUUCCAUCCUCAGCACCACA
This 71-nucleotide transfer RNA is filed under the name Marmota monax (woodchuck). RNAcentral's name for it is "tRNA.Ala". The record is from RNAcentral. Lineage: Eukaryota; Metazoa; Chordata; Mammalia; Rodentia; Sciuridae.